GGAAAGAUGAAAAGAACUUUGAAAAGAGAGUUAAACAGUAUGUGAAAUUGUUAAAAGGGAACCGUUUGGAGCCAGACUGGCUUGUCUGUAAUCAAUCUAGGCUUCGGCCUGGAUGCACUUGCAGGCUAUGCCUGCCAACGACAAUUUGACUUGAGGGAAAAAACUAGGGGAAAUGUGGCCCACUUGUGGGUGUUAUAGUCCCUUAGAAAAUACCUUGGGUUGGAUUGAGGAACGCAGCGAAUGCUCAUUGGCGAGUUUUCCAGGAAGGUUUUCUGAGGUACUACGGUAUCAAGGUUGAUCUUUUUGGUUAUACUUCUAUUCGCUUAGGUUGCUGGCUUAAUGACUCUAAAUGACCCGUCUUGAAACACGGACCA
This 374-nucleotide ribosomal RNA is filed under the name Entrophospora infrequens. RNAcentral's name for it is "LSU rRNA". It matches the Rfam family "Eukaryotic large subunit ribosomal RNA", at positions 358 to 668 of the family's 3401-position model. Lineage: Eukaryota; Fungi; Glomeromycota; Glomeromycetes; Entrophosporales; Entrophosporaceae. The record is from RNAcentral.